This 202-nucleotide microRNA precursor is filed under the name Oryza rufipogon (brownbeard rice). RNAcentral's name for it is "MIR812 microRNA precursor family". It matches the Rfam family "MIR812 microRNA precursor family". The record is from Rfam by way of RNAcentral. Lineage: Eukaryota; Viridiplantae; Streptophyta; Magnoliopsida; Poales; Poaceae.
AAUGUGUGGCACCGUUGAUUUUUUGUCCAACGUUUGACCAUUCGUCUUAUUAAAAAAUUAUGUAAUUAUCAUUUAUUUUAUUAUGACUUGAUUCGUCAUCAAAUGUUUUAAGCAUGACAUAAAUAUUUUCAUAUUUGCAUAAAAAUUUUGAAUAAAACGAAUGGUCAAACGUUUGAUCGAAAAGUCAACAGUGUCAUAUAUU